RNAcentral lists this ribosomal RNA (750 nucleotides) under uncultured Comamonadaceae bacterium. Its description in RNAcentral is "bacterial SSU rRNA". It matches the Rfam family "Bacterial small subunit ribosomal RNA", at positions 28 to 775 of the family's 1533-position model. The record is from RNAcentral. Lineage: Bacteria; Pseudomonadati; Pseudomonadota; Betaproteobacteria; Burkholderiales; Comamonadaceae.
AUUGAACGCUGGCGGCAUGCCUUACACAUGCAAGUCGAAUGGUAACGCGGGGCAACCUGGCGACGAGUGGCGAACGGGUGAGUAAUAUAUCGGAACGUGCCCAGUAGUGGGGGAUAGCCCGGCGAAAGCCGGAUUAAUACCGCAUACGACCUACGGGUGAAAGCGGGGGAUCGCAAGACCUCGCGCUAUUGGAGCGGCCGAUAUCAGAUUAGGUAGUUGGUGGGGUAAAAGCCUACCAAGCCAACGAUCUGUAGCUGGUCUGAGAGGACGACCAGCCACACUGGGACUGAGACACGGCCCAGACUCCUACGGGAGGCAGCAGUGGGGAAUUUUGGACAAUGGGCGCAAGCCUGAUCCAGCCAUGCCGCGUGCGGGAAGAAGGCCUUCGGGUUGUAAACCGCUUUUGUCGGGGAAGAAACGCUCUGGGCUAAUACCCCGGGGUAAUGACGGUACCCGAAGAAUAAGCACCGGCUAACUACGUGCCAGCAGCCGCGGUAAUACGUAGGGUGCAAGCGUUAAUCGGAAUUACUGGGCGUAAAGCGUGCGCAGGCGGUCUUGCAAGACAGAUGUGAAAUCCCCGGGCUUAACCUGGGAACUGCAUUUGUGACUGCAAGGCUGGAGUGCGGCAGAGGGGGAUGGAAUUCCGCGUGUAGCAGUGAAAUGCGUAGAUAUGCGGAGGAACACCGAUGGCGAAGGCAAUCCCCUGGGCCUGCACUGACGCUCAUGCACGAAAGCGUGGGGAGCAAACAG